Long non-coding RNA from Mustela erminea (ermine), 918 nucleotides. RefSeq lists it as uncharacterized. Lineage: Eukaryota; Metazoa; Chordata; Mammalia; Carnivora; Mustelidae. The record is from RefSeq and is a predicted model, not a curated record. The transcript has 6 exons.
CUGAAGGCAGACGCCCAACCGACUGAGCCUCCCAGGGAACUGGAUUCUGGUCUCACUGAAUCUGUGUCUGCACUAAUCUGGACAGCCCCGCCCUCCAGUCAGAGGUACCUGAGUUGAAAAUAGUAUCUAAUCAGCCACAUGCCAAGUGCAGCCAAGAAUAUGGCCAGGUGUGUUGAACCAACGAGAUUGGAACUGUCAGCUCUCAGGAGGAAGCCCCGACAAACCUGGUCAGUAUUGGAUUUACUGAGGAUGUCAAGAAAGGUGCCCUUGGCAGAACUGGUAGAACUUUAGCAAAAACCAGUGAUCCUCUCAAGGCAUCGCCAGUAUCUGCACUGGGGCCCUUUCCUAUGAGAUCCCCGGCCCCUUGUUUCUCACACCUUCCUCCUGAAAGACAGAGUGACUCCUAUAAGAAGAAUGAUUUGUUUCCUUCACUGGUUCCUAGGUUAUAUCUCCUUCACUCUCCUUUCUUGGCUGAGGUCUCUGGCACGUGGAGAAGCAGGAAGGGUUCCUUGUGAAGGAUGCUCACCACAUUUCUGCGGGGAGAGCUUUCCCUAUCUGCUGUAAAGAUCAUAUGGCUUCAGCUGCUGAUACUGAGUCAUUUAAGAACCCCACUGCGUCUAAGCCCAAAAAAGAAUAUCCCCCCUUACCCCACCCCCCGGAUACCAAAGAUUGCAAAUGACAUGCCAUGUCUUCCAAGACACUUCUUUCACUGUUCUGGUGCCCCAUGAUCUCUCAUUUUUCUGCUUCUUUUGGGGUUAGGACUUAUCUGCUAAGUGAUAAUAUCAUUGACAUUUUUGUGUUAGAGGAUUUUUAAAAAAACCUAGCUUGCCUUAAUGAGAUUAAGGAAGGUAUGACAGUCUCUUUUGAAAUGUCCCUUACAGGGGUGCCUGGGUGGCUCAGCUGGUUAAACAUCUGCCU